AUUGCUUCUCGGUCUUUUGGCUAAGAUCAAGUGUAGUAUCUGUUCUUACCAUCCCACGGAUGCUACAUUAACCUUCCUCUUUUUCUCGGACCACAUCAUGCUUUCGUGCACUCUUUCACUCCCUUCGGGGGUGACUGUAGGUAAGGGUCUGUGGAAAUUGAAUUGCUCUCUUCUACAGGACAAGGAUAU
This is a small nuclear RNA of Triplophysa rosa, 189 nucleotides long. RefSeq annotates it as U2 spliceosomal RNA. Lineage: Eukaryota; Metazoa; Chordata; Actinopteri; Cypriniformes; Nemacheilidae. The record is from RefSeq and is a predicted model, not a curated record. The transcript has a single exon.